RNAcentral lists this ribosomal RNA (253 nucleotides) under uncultured bacterium. RNAcentral's name for it is "partial 16S ribosomal RNA". It matches the Rfam family "Bacterial small subunit ribosomal RNA", at positions 524 to 776 of the family's 1533-position model. The record is from RNAcentral.
UACGUAGGGGGCAAGCGUUGUCCGGAUUUACUGGGCGUAAAGAGCGUGUAGGCGGCCACGCAGGUCCGUUGUGAAAACUGGGGGCUCAACCUCCAGCUGUCGACGGAAACCGUGUGGCUAGAGUCCGGAAGAGGAGAGUGGAAUUCCUGGUGUAGCGGUGAAAUGCGCAGAUAUCAGGAAGAACACCAAUGGCGAAGGCAGCUCUCUGGGACGGUACUGACGCUGAGACGCGAAAGCGUGGGGAGCGAACAGG